UACGAAGGGGGGCUAGCGUUGUUCGGAAUUACUGGGCGUAAAGCGUGCGCAGGCGGCUUCUCAAGUCAGGGGUGAAAGCCCAGAGCUCAACUCUGGAAUUGCCUUUGAGACUGAGUGGCUUGAGUCCGAUAGAGGUGGGUGGAAUUCCUAGUGUAGAGGUGAAAUUCGUAGAUAUUAGGAAGAACACCGGUGGCGAAGGCGGCCCACUGGAUCGGUACUGACGCUGAGGUGCGAAAGCGUGGGGAGCAAACAGG
This 254-nucleotide ribosomal RNA is filed under the name uncultured bacterium. RNAcentral's name for it is "partial 16S ribosomal RNA". It matches the Rfam family "Bacterial small subunit ribosomal RNA", at positions 524 to 776 of the family's 1533-position model. The record is from RNAcentral.